This 859-nucleotide ribosomal RNA is filed under the name Bettsia alvei. RNAcentral's name for it is "LSU rRNA". It matches the Rfam family "Eukaryotic large subunit ribosomal RNA", at positions 38 to 919 of the family's 3401-position model. Lineage: Eukaryota; Fungi; Ascomycota; Leotiomycetes. The record is from RNAcentral.
GCAUAUCAAUAAGCGGAGGAAAAGAAACCAACAGGGAUUGCCUCAGUAACGGCGAGUGAAGCGGCAACAGCUCAAAUUGAAAUCUGGCCUCACGGUCCGAGUUGUAAUUUGUAGAGGAUGUUUCGAGCAUGGUCCGGCCUAAGUGUCUUGGAACAGGACGUCAUAGAGGGUGAGAACCCCGUAUGCGGUCGGGUGCCUACGCUCAUGUGAAACUCCUUCGACGAGUCGAGUUGUUUGGGAAUGCAGCUCAAAAUGGGUGGUAAAUUUCAUCUAAAGCUAAAUAUUGGCCAGAGACCGAUAGCGCACAAGUAGAGUGAUCGAAAGAUGAAAAGCACUUUGGAAAGAGAGUUAAACAGUACGUGAAAUUGUUGAAAGGGAAGCGCUUGCAACCAGACUUGGGCGCGGCCGAUCAUCCGGUGUUCUCACCGGUGCACUCGGUCGCGUGCAGGCCAGCAUCGGUUCUGGUGGCUGGAUAAAGGCCCUAGGAAUGUGGCUCCUCUCGGGGAGUGUUAUAGCCUAGGGUGCAAUGCAGCCUACCGGGACCGAGGACCGCGCUUCGGCUAGGAUGCUGGCGUAAUGGUUGUAAGUGACCCGUCUUGAAACACGGACCAAGGAGUCUAACAUCUAUGCGAGUGUUUGGGUGUCAAACCCAUACGCGUAAUGAAAGUGAACGGAGGUGAGAACCCUUAAGGGUGCAUCAUCGACCGAUCCUGAUGUCUUCGGAUGGAUUUGAGUAUGAGCAUAGCUGUUGGGACCCGAAAGAUGGUGAACUAUGCCUGACUAGGGUGAAGCCAGAGGAAACUCUGGUGGAGGCUCGCAGCGGUUCUGACGUGCAAAUCGAUCGUCAAAUUUGGGCAUA